This 109-nucleotide small nuclear RNA is filed under the name Macaca nemestrina (pig-tailed macaque). The record is from RNAcentral. Lineage: Eukaryota; Metazoa; Chordata; Mammalia; Primates; Cercopithecidae.
GUGCUCGCUUCGGUAGCACAUAUGCUAAAAUUGGAACGAUACAGAGAAGAUUAGCAUGGCCCUGACGCAAAGAUGCGACACUCAGAUUUGUGUUGUGUUCCAUAUUCUU